This 273-nucleotide ribosomal RNA is filed under the name Bacteroides mediterraneensis. Its description in RNAcentral is "partial 23S ribosomal RNA". It matches the Rfam family "Bacterial large subunit ribosomal RNA", at positions 39 to 321 of the family's 2925-position model. Lineage: Bacteria; Pseudomonadati; Bacteroidota; Bacteroidia; Bacteroidales; Bacteroidaceae. The record is from RNAcentral.
CUCGGAGGCGAUGAAGGACGUGAUAAGCUGCGAUAAGCUGCGGGGAGGUGCAAAUAACCCUUGAUCCGCGGAUUUCCGAAUGGGACAACCCGUUAUCUUGAAGAGAUAACAUCCAUCUUAUGAUGGAGGCUAACGCAGGGAACUGAAACAUCUUAGUACCUGCAGGAAAAGAAAAUAACAAUGAUUCCCCCAGUAGUGGCGAGCGAACGGGGAAAAGCCCAAACCUCAGAUGUUACGGCAUCUGGGGGGUUGUAGGACCGCGACAUCGCAAGA